UGGCUGAUUGGUCUCUAUAGUUGAGAGUGUAGGAUCUCCAUAUACGUGGGCAUUUUGGUGGUCCUUGGCUUCUUUCUAUCUCUCCACAUGACAUCGUACACUCCAGGGCCUCUUAACAUAGCCUGGAGUUCUCACGUGAUGAUUUCUGAGUAGUUAUACUUCUUACCUGGUGGCUGGUCUCCCACAGGCAGGAAGUAGGUGUUGCCAGGCCACUGAAGGACUAUCUGUAGAACUGGCACUGGUUGCUUCCUGCACAUAUUUUUGCUCUAAACAGUAACUAAGUCUAUCAAGUUCAAUCCCUCUUAAUAGGAUAUGGUGAAGUCACAUUGAAGAAAAGCAUAUAAGAUGGAACAUGAUGUUGUGGCUAUGUAUGAGAAAUACAGCCAAUGACACAAUUAAUAUAUAUUUGAUAAAUCAGUGCCUAAAGGUCCCUGUCAUAAACCUCAAUUAACCCUCUAGAAAUGUUCACUGUCUCUCACUCUCACCAAGUGUAAUCCAGUAUAAGCUUCUUUCUGUAGCGUCUCUGCCAUAGAGGUGGAAUCUCUGAGGAAGAAAAAGAAAUCCAAGCCUGCUGUUCUUCACCUUGAUGUUUCGAUUGCAUAUAUAUUAUGAAGUAUACUACAGAAUACAACUUCAGGUCCCAGAGUGCCCAAGGAGCCGUCCUACUUCUGAAAAGACUCAGGUCAAGUGGCUGCUAUUGUCAUCUAGACCUGCAAUCUUGGGUAGCUCUCUUCAGUAAUCCUGGCUAUGAGGUGAUUGUGAAGGCAAAAGACAAGUCAUCCUGCUCAGUGGCCUCAGAACCUGCUUUUUUGCUUUCAGUAUCUACAGUGCCUAGAACUGUGCCUGGAUAAAGAAGACAUGAAGUACACAUUUGUUGAACUGAAUCUCUCUUAAUGUCUAGUAGGGGCUGCUGCUGUAACCUUACCCUAAUGAGUUCCACACAUAUUCACUCACUGAGAGAAUCCCCAGAAAAAUGAGUACUAUAAUGAUUAAGAGUACUAUUAUAGUUUGAACUAUGAUUUGUCAACUUGACUGGGUCUUUACACAGAUACCAGAUAAUUGGUAAAACAUUAUUUCUGGGUGUGUCUGUGAGGGUGUUUCUGGAAUAGAUUAGUCUUCAAAUCAGUAGAUUGAAUAAAGAUGAUCCAAUCCCACUCCUUUAGGUGGGCAGACACCAUCUAAUUUACUGAUGGCCAAAUUAAAACAAAAAGGUAGAGAAAGGUUAAAUUUUAUCUAUCUUUCCUUAACCUGAAAUGUCCAUCUUCUGCAACCCUCAGACAUCUAGAGACACUUGUGGCCCCUCCUGGUUCUUGGUCUUUUGGCCUCAGACUGUUUAGAGCAUCAGCUCCCCUGGUUCAGUCCUUUGGACUCAGGCUGAAUUAUACCACUGGCUUUUCUGGUUCUCCAGCUUGCAGAUGGUAUGUUGUGGGACUUCCUGGCCUCCAUAAUUGUGUAAGUCGAUUUCCAUAAUAAAUCUGUAUAUGUGUGUAUGCUGUGUGGUUCUGUUUCUCUGGAAAACCCUGACUACUAUAAGUACUAUUUAAUUUCCCAUUUUCUCUAACUGGGCUGGAAGAAGUAGAAAAACAGAUUCUCUUUUAGUCUUCUCUAUCAGAGCUUUACAUGAGUCCUGGUGAAUUGCAGAAUCUUCAAAAAUGCUAUUGCUUUUAUAGAAUGUUUUUAAAUAGCCUUUUCCAGUCCUGAUCCUUAAUCUACUCAUUGAAAUCAUGCCUCUGGCCAUCUUUAAAAGUCCUAAAUCUACACCAAGGAAGCUAAGUUUCUAACGUUCAUGUCUAGAACACCCAGAUGUAGUGAGAGAAUAUGCCGUUCUGAGGCAGUUCCCAGAUGCUCCCUGCGAUUGCACCCCUGUUCCUGAGCACAAGCUCUGUCUAGAACUCCAGACUCUGCUGGUUACUGCCUCUUAGUUCCACAGCACUCGGCCCAGGCUCAUGUUUCCUGAGAACCUUUCAGUGUACUGCACUCUGGGAUAGGCACCAUUUCCUUGUACUCCUAUAAAUUUCUUUGUGUUCACGAACUCUAUUACUUGCUUCUCUGAUUAAGCUGUUGACUUUAGUUUCCCUUACACACAUAUACAUACACAGAAUUGUAAACUCUUUAAAAGCAGGUCAUGAAUUUUAUUCAUCUCUAUUGCCUGGGGAUGCAACACAUAUUUUUGAAUAAAAAAGUGAAACUGUUCCAAAGACAUUAUCCACUAUGAUUAGGCAAAUGAAAAUAUGGUAGAAGAAGAUAAAGAGUGGAAAGGCUGCUUUGGGUACCUGUUGGAUUGAUCUGAUUUGUAAAGUCACUAAAGUCCUAGGUGAAGGAUGGGCUGGGCUCUCUAGUCACUGGGAUGAUGCCUUCCCUUCUUCCAAAAACUGUUCCAUUCCUGUGAGAAGAAUGGAACAGUUCUGGUCACUUUCCUGAGCAUAAAGACAGAUACUCCCCCAGAUUAUUCUGUACACAAGAGGCUUAAGGAUCAGUAUAUGCAAGGCCAGACUCACAAUAAAGGGCAGCACAGCAUCCUUUAGCUCUCAGUCCCACUUUACCACCCUGAGUGCAUAGCUGCACUGGAUCUGUCCAGAUGGGCUGACGACCACUAAUGGGAAAAGAAGGUAUAGUGAAUUUCAUAGAAGAAAACAACUUUACAACCCUGAGGGAAAAGAUAAUACUGUUCCCACAAGCAUAUUAAUACCUAUUGAGCCUCUCAUUCAGAUCUGUGUGAGGUAUUAUUCUAUAAGUUAUGUGAGGUUGCAUAGACAGGCAAUGGUAAAAGAUAUAUGACUAGUUCCUUCUCUCCUGGGGUCCUGAGCUUACAAUAUGGCCAAAGACAAGAAAUAGUACAGAGCGACAUAUGGUGACAUAUUUAUUGAAAGGUGAAUAAAAUCAAGUAUCAUAAAUGUACAUUCAUUAAAUUACUAUGAGAAGAUCUGAUGAAAAAAGUCAAUAAUGAAUGAAGUUAUCAGGAGUUGAGAGGGGGAGUUCCAAGGACAUUACAGCCCUUCAGGCUUUCUUUGAUUCUUACCAUUAGGCUUUCUCAUAUAUGCCUCCGAUCUUCAAAGUUAUCAAUUAUCUGACAUCUGGCUCAUAGCUGCUCUCUCUACCCCACUGCCUGCCAUGUUUUAGGGUGAUUUCAAGGUCUGUGUGAGCAACUUUCUUCAAACCUUUUACUCUUUGCUUCUUAAUCUCCUCAAUCUUAGUGAUUUUCAUAUCUACUCAUCUUCAGAAAUGCUUGUGUAGAAACACUGGGGUGCCACAGCCUUCAGACAUUGAGUAGAGGAGAAGGAGUCAGCAAAGGACAGUGCAAUAGCAAGAAAACCAGGAAGGCAUGGUAUCACAGUAGAAGAAAAAAACGUUUUUGGAGACACAGUGGUGUCAAUGCUAAUGACAGAUUAAGAAAAUGAGAGAAAAAAUGGCUGUUGGGUUUAUUAAUAUGUUUGAGGUCAAAAGACAAAGUUACAACAAAUUUAAAUAUUCAAAUUGUUAUUUAUUUGUCAUUCUAGAAUAAGGCAACACCUCAUUCUAUAAAAUAGAAUGAUUUUUCUGAUGAGCUGACCAGAGGAGGUUGGUUUUACAGACCCAAAAGGGCAGAGGAAAGCGGAAAUAGAGAACAAAUAGCUGAUUGGUCAUUUCCAAGUUACUUUUCUUGUAAAGGCUGAAGCAGAGGAGACUUCCUUAUCACACCCAAUAAAACUGGCCUGUUUAGGGAUUUGGCUAUUAUUUCUCUCUCUCCUGAUUUCUUGGAAGGUCAGUUAAACAAUUUUGUUUCUGCUUGGUGGCAUGGAACUUCCGCAUGCAUGAUUCCAUUUUGGUUUGGUCUAUUGGGAGCUCAGUCCAAACCAAUGGCCUCCUGUAAAUUUUAUUUAACACUGAUACUCUUGUCAAGUACAACUUAAAGCCUUCAGAAUGAUAUGCUGAGCCAAGCAAACCUCUGAGUAAAUGCUCCUAGGAAGGUGCUACUGACUGGAGGCAGAGGAAACAGGAGGAAAUGAGCCAGCUUGUUCACCAUGGGGAGUAUGAUUUUUGACAAACUGAAAUGACGAAUCAAUUGAAGAACAGAUCCCAGGAGAUCAUACUGAAGUCUUUAGAUAAUACUCUAAACAUGCUGGAGGGAAGUUAAGUAGCCUAAGAAGGUCAGGAUGACUAAAACAAGUGUUAAUUGGGUAGAGACAGGUAGAUAGUAGAACCAAACUGGAGUUCAAAUGAGGACUAAAACUGAAACUAAAUAUUUCCUGAACAUAUGCUGGUCAUUGCUCAUUAAAUAAAGAGGAACAGAAAAUUGGAUUAGGAAAACAACUUUAGGAUGAGAAAGGGAUAUAUAGAAAGGAAGAAAAAGUUUUGAGGUGACAGAGGAAUUCAAUUGUUAAUACUAGACUCUGAAAGGGUUUUGUCACAAGGCAGAACAAAUGGAUGGAAUGUAUGUAAUUUCCUUAGCUGACCACAACCCUGUGUUCAGACUUUCAGUGUUAUGUAGAGAAAUAAG
Callithrix jacchus (white-tufted-ear marmoset) is the source of this 4477-nucleotide long non-coding RNA. The record is from Ensembl. Lineage: Eukaryota; Metazoa; Chordata; Mammalia; Primates; Cebidae.